Molecule: non-coding RNA, 84 nt
Filed under: Deinococcus peraridilitoris
Lineage: Bacteria; Thermotogati; Deinococcota; Deinococci; Deinococcales; Deinococcaceae
Also listed under: 1 other name
Description: ZTP sequence
Rfam family: ZMP/ZTP riboswitch aptamer (pfl RNA motif)
About the family: Previously known as pfl RNA. ZMP is also known as AICAR.
Source: RNAcentral
GCACGUUGCGGUGACUGGCGACGCGACGCGGGCAACCGCGGGGGAGCCGCAAGAAUCCACGGGCCGCGCGCCUGGGCCGAGAAC